Molecule: ribosomal RNA, 94 nt
Filed under: Caerostris darwini
Lineage: Eukaryota; Metazoa; Arthropoda; Arachnida; Araneae; Araneidae
Source: RNAcentral
GUAAAAUCGGUUCUCGUUAGAUCACCGAAGUCAAGCAUCAUUGGGCGCGGUCAGUACUUGGGUGGGUGACCACCUGGGAACACCGCGUGCCGUU